RNAcentral lists this unclassified non-coding RNA (330 nucleotides) under soil metagenome. RNAcentral's name for it is "partial contains 5.8S ribosomal RNA, internal transcribed spacer 2, and large subunit ribosomal RNA". The stretch from base 1 to 120 matches the Rfam family "5.8S ribosomal RNA", at positions 35 to 154 of the family's 154-position model. The record is from RNAcentral.
GAUGAAGAACGCAGCGAAAUGCGAUAAGUAGUGUGAUUUGCAGAAUUCAGUGAAUCAUCGAAUCUUUGAACGCACAUUGCGCCCCUUGGUAUUCCAUGGGGCAUGCCUGUUCGAGCGUCAUUUGUACCCUCAAGCUUUGCUUGGUGUUGGGCGUCUUGUCGUAUUACGACUCGCCUUAAAUACAUUGGCAGCCGGCACUUUGGCCUAGGAGCGCAGCACAUUUUGCGAUCGUAGCCCGUUGUACUGGCGUCCAUCAAGAACAUUUACCACGUUUGACCUCGGAUCAGGUAGGGAUACCCGCUGAACUUAAGCAUAUCAAUAAGCGGAGGA